AACCCAUGAUAAGGGCAUCUCCUGAGGAGAUCCUUGAACCUCUCAUGUGCUUCAAACAGUGUUUCGGACUCUCCUUUCUUGAAUGUUGAGAUUUCCUAUCUAAUCUU
Dioscorea cayenensis subsp. rotundata (Guinea yam) is the source of this 107-nucleotide small nucleolar RNA. The record is from RefSeq and is a predicted model, not a curated record. NCBI's taxonomy places the organism in Eukaryota, Viridiplantae, Streptophyta, Magnoliopsida, Dioscoreales, Dioscoreaceae.